This 497-nucleotide ribosomal RNA is filed under the name uncultured bacterium. Its description in RNAcentral is "partial 16S ribosomal RNA". It matches the Rfam family "Bacterial small subunit ribosomal RNA", at positions 28 to 507 of the family's 1533-position model. The record is from RNAcentral.
GAUGAACGCUGGCGGCGUGCCUAAUACAUGCAAGUCGAGCGAACAGACGAGGAGCUUGCUCCUCUGACGUUAGCGGCGGACGGGUGAGUAACACGUGGAUAACCUACCUAUAAGACUGGGAUAACUUCGGGAAACCGGAGCUAGUACCGGAUAAUAUAUUGAACCGCAUGGUUCAAUAGUGAAAGACGGUUUUCCUGUCACUUAUAGAUGGAUCCGCGCCGCAUUAGCUAGUUGGUAAGGUAACGGCUUACCAAGGCAACGAUGCGUAGCCGACCUGAGAGGGUGAUCGGCCACACUGGAACUGAGACACGGUCCAGACUCCUACGGGAGGCAGCAGUAGGGAAUCUUGCACAAUGGGCGAAAGCCUGACGGAGCAACGCCGCGUGAGUGAUGAAGGUCUUCGGAUCGUAAAGCUCUGUUAUUAGGGAAGAACAAAUGUGUAAGUAACUAUGCACGUCUUGACGGUACCUAAUCAGAAAGCCACGGCUAACUACGUG